RNAcentral lists this ribosomal RNA (556 nucleotides) under Eulimnogammarus verrucosus. RNAcentral's name for it is "SSU rRNA". It matches the Rfam family "Eukaryotic small subunit ribosomal RNA", at positions 63 to 536 of the family's 1831-position model. The record is from RNAcentral. Lineage: Eukaryota; Metazoa; Arthropoda; Malacostraca; Amphipoda; Eulimnogammaridae.
GUCCAAGCUGUGUUCACACGGCGAGACCGCGGACGGCUCAUUAAAUCAGUCGUGGUCCAAAUGGGCCAGUGCAAAUCCUACUUGGAUAACUGUGGUAAUUCCAGAGCUAAUACAUGCAACUGAUAUCCCGAAGGCGGUGUCGGGGCUUGCUUGUCUUGCCCUGCCUGCUCUGACGGAUGCUUUUAUUAGACCAAGCCGCUGAGGACUUGAGGGUUCGCGCUCUCUUGUUUGACUCGUGUGAUGGUGACUCUGGAUAACCAAAUUCUGACAAGCGCACGUACUUCUCUUCUGAGCGAGACGGCGCUGCCACUUUCGAGUGUCUGCCUUAUCAGCUAUCAACCGUUCGUUAUGCGCGACCGAUGGCUUUGACGGGUAACGGGGAAUCAGGGUUCGAUUCCGGAGAGGCAGCCUGAGAGACGGCUACCACGUCCAAGGACGGCAGCAGGCACGCAAAUUACCCAAUCCCAGCAAAUGGGGGAGGUAGUGACGAAAUCUAACGAUGCGGGCGCCCUUUCUGGGGCCCCGCAAUCGGAAUGGGCACUUUCUAAACAACCUG